GUGCCAGCAGCCGCGGUAAUACGGGGGGUGCGAGCGUUGUUCGGAAUUAUUGGGCGUAAAGGGCGCGCAGGCGGUUUGUUAAGUCUGAUGUGAAAGCCCCGGGCCCAACCCGGGAAGUGCAUUGGAUACUGGCAGACUUGAGUACGGGAGAGGAGAGCGGAAUUCCUGGUGUAGGGGUGAAAUCCGUAGAUAUCAGGAAGAACACCGGCGGCGAAGGCGGCUCUCUGGACCGCUACUGACGCUGAGGCGCGAAAGCAUGGGGAGCAAACAGGAUUAGAUACCCUGGUAGUCC
RNAcentral lists this ribosomal RNA (292 nucleotides) under uncultured bacterium. RNAcentral's name for it is "partial 16S ribosomal RNA". It matches the Rfam family "Bacterial small subunit ribosomal RNA", at positions 505 to 796 of the family's 1533-position model. The record is from RNAcentral.